This 491-nucleotide ribosomal RNA is filed under the name uncultured bacterium. RNAcentral's name for it is "partial 16S ribosomal RNA". It matches the Rfam family "Bacterial small subunit ribosomal RNA", at positions 29 to 507 of the family's 1533-position model. The record is from RNAcentral.
AGUGAACGCUGGCGGUAGGCCUAACACAUGCAAGUCGAACGGCAGCACAGUAAGAGCUUGCUCUUACGGGUGGCGAGUGGCGGACGGGUGAGGAAUACAUCGGCAUCUACUUUUUCGUGGGGGAUAACGUAGGGAAACUUACGCUAAUACCGCAUAUGAUCUACGGGUGAGAGCAGGGGAUCUUCGGACCUUGCGUGAUUCAAUGAGCCGAUGUCGGAUGAGCUAGUUGGCGGGGUAAAGGCCCACCAAGGCGACGCUGCGUAGCAGGUCUGAGAGGAUGGUCAGCCACACUAGAGCUGAGACACGGUCCAGACUCCUACGGGGGGCAAGAGUGGGAAGUGUUGGAGAAGGGGCGCAGGCCGGACACAGCCAGACCGCCUGGGGCAGGAAGGCCUUGGGGUGGUAAACCCCUUUUGUGGGGAAAAAAAAGUAUGCGAUUAACAACGCGCUGUUCGAAGGUAACCCAAAGAAAAGCCACGGCCAACCACGUG